Molecule: non-coding RNA, 595 nt
Organism: Myodes glareolus (Bank vole)
Lineage: Eukaryota; Metazoa; Chordata; Mammalia; Rodentia; Cricetidae
Source: RefSeq, a predicted model, not a curated record
UUUGGAAUAAAGAAUCAGAGCGGCAUGGAAACAGAGGCUCACGGAACCCUGGAGCCGAGUGACAUCAGAGACAAACCCAGCCCCAAACUCAGGCUCGGUGCUCAGAAGAGGCUUGUAAGCUAAAAUAGUAACCAUUCUUGCUCUAAGAGCAAGAGCAUUUUCAGAUGCCAGGCUGACUGGCAAACACCUACACCACCUCGCUCACGCUUAUGCCACAGGACCAUCUAUCAUCAAGAAACCAGGAUGCAUGAUUCCAGCAGCUGUGUUCCCUGCACAGCCUUGAACAGUAAGGGCCCAUUAACAUCCCAUCAGCUUAGGAGGCUCCACCCCUUCCCAGCUACAUCUAUAUUAUAAAAGACAAAAGUUGACCAGAGGUGUCCUGUGUCCUGGCUUUUAUGCUUUUACAGCAGUGCAAACUACAUCAUGAAGUUUGGAAAGAGGACAGAGAGGAGGCAGAGCCAAGACAGCUGAAAAGUGGCAGAAUGCUCGUGAAGAAAUGGAACCAAGGUGAACGGGAGCAGCGGGAGCGGAUCGGCCACUUAGAUUUUACCCAAAGGAAGUGCAUGCUUUAACAGUUUUUGAGAAUACUACAAGG